Molecule: ribosomal RNA, 425 nt
Filed under: uncultured bacterium
Lineage: Bacteria
Description: partial 16S ribosomal RNA
Rfam family: Bacterial small subunit ribosomal RNA
Source: RNAcentral
GUGGGGAAUAUUGGGCAAUGGGCGAAAGCCUGACCCAGCAACGCCGCGUGAAGGAAGAAGGUUUUCGGAUCGUAAACUUCUAUCCUUGGUGAAGAUAAUGACGGUAGCCAAGAAGGAAGCCCCGGCUAACUACGUGCCAGCAGCCGCGGUAAUACGUAGGGGGCAAGCGUUGUCCGGAAUGAUUGGGCGUAAAGGGCGCGUAGGCGGCCCGGUAAGUCUGAAGUGAAAGUCCUGCUUUUAAGGUGGGAAUUGCUUUGGAUACUGUCGGGCUUGAGUGCAGGGGAGGUAAGCGGAAUUCCCGGUGUAGCGGUGAAAUGCGUAGAGAUCGGGAGGAACACCAGUGGCGAAGGCGGCUUACUGGACUGUAACUGACGCUGAGGCGCGAAAGUGUGGGGAGCAAACAGGAUUAGAAACCCUAGUAGUCC